Non-coding RNA from Acanthosepion pharaonis, 112 nucleotides. The record is from the annotation of a GenBank genome assembly. NCBI's taxonomy places the organism in Eukaryota, Metazoa, Mollusca, Cephalopoda, Sepiida, Sepiidae.
UACGGCCACAUCACGUUGACAUACCGAUUCCCGUACGAACACCGAAGUUAGGCAACGUCGAGCCUAGUCAGUACCUAGAUGGGUGACCGCUUGGGAACACCAGAUGUUGUAA